AAAGACUGGAAUUUUGGGAAGUUCUUGAGAACUAGCCAUCAAAGUUUUACAAUGCUUCGAAGAUAAUGCGUUGGUGGGAAGGUUAGCAUUUAUACUGCUCUUUGGUUUCGUUCGUUUGUCGUUUGUCGUGCUUUAGUUGAUACAGUAUGCGCUUGGAUAAUACUGAAAUACAGUAUACAAAUCAUUACUCAUAAAAAUUCUUGAUGAUGAAAUUAGAGUAUUAUGACAUCGACGUGAAUAUUAAAUUCAAUCUUGAUUGACCCAUUGUCUAUUAGUUUGAUAGAUCGUCGUAGAUAUGGUCCUUCAAGCUAAACAAUGUUUAUUUAAUGGGGAAAAUUGGCAUGUUAUGGAAGACUAGGAUGUGAUGUAUCAAAUAAUUAAAAUGUCAAGUCUAAGAUUUUAUCAAUCGUAUCUAUUUGUAUUAUGGUCAUACAUGUAGAUUGGGUGAGAUCUCAUAAUCUAUUAAUUUUUUGUGGAUCUUGUUGUUUAUUGGACGCUCCACUUAUGGUCCUUCAAAAUAAAUAAAUGAUGGCAAAAUUGGCAUGUUAUGAAAUAAUAAGAUUUAUGUAUUAUAUAUGAAAUGAUUAAAAUCCCAAGUUUGAAAUUUUGUCACAUUUUCGUGGGAGAUGUGGAAAGAAUUGAUUGAUUGUUACCUGCUAACAAAUUCUUGCACAAUAUGAGAAAUUAUGGAUGUAUAAUUGUGAGUGAUUAUGUAUUGCAGGUACAAUCAAGAAUUUAAAUUUUGAAUCUUGAAAAGAUCAAACAAAUUGUUUAUUGCUCUCCCAAUAUUGCGGUCCACAAAAUUACGUGGACUUUUGCUAGUAUUUGUUUUAUGUCACACACACUCCUGGC
Molecule: long non-coding RNA, 852 nt
Filed under: Salvia miltiorrhiza (redroot sage)
Lineage: Eukaryota; Viridiplantae; Streptophyta; Magnoliopsida; Lamiales; Lamiaceae
Description: long non-coding RNA (SMIL_LNC005291)
Source: RNAcentral